Molecule: long non-coding RNA, 360 nt
Organism: Saccostrea echinata
Lineage: Eukaryota; Metazoa; Mollusca; Bivalvia; Ostreida; Ostreidae
Exons: 3
Source: RefSeq, a predicted model, not a curated record
ACAUUGCAAAAACGGCUGUAUUGAAGGAUGGUCCGGAGAACGCUGUGAUAACUCCGUACCACAGACCCAGACGAGUACAUCACAGACGCCUGGCUUAGAGGUACCCUCCUAUGUACUGUAUGUGGCGCUCAGCGUGUCUUCUGUUAUCAUCCUGGGAGCUGGUGUAAUUGUUCUGGUCUGCUGUGUGAGGAAAAGACAAGGAAAGAGGAGUUCAUCAACGAAUUCGGAUAAAAACGAACGAGGUGAAAACUCCAAGAUAUUCAAUACUGAACACGAAAUAUAUGAUUCAAUAUAUGAAGAACCAAUAGAGCAAAAUAACGAGAGGCCACCAUCUUACCACACUGCAGAGCAUAUGUAUGA